Paramuricea clavata is the source of this 224-nucleotide non-coding RNA. Lineage: Eukaryota; Metazoa; Cnidaria; Anthozoa; Malacalcyonacea; Plexauridae. The record is from the annotation of a GenBank genome assembly.
CUGACACAUUCAGCAACAAUUGUGUAUUUUGCCUUAUCACAUUCUGGGUUAAAAAUCUCGGUUAUUUUUCUGUUCAGUAUUCAAGUCACCAGAAGUAUACCAUGAUAUUCGCUCCUCCUCCUGAAUUCGAUUUAGGAAGUGGUCAUUAUUUAUGGGGUGGAUGAUUUUGAGGAGGGGUUACAAAAUUUUGAAAGUUGCUGAAGGAGGGGUUAUGUUGAUUCUUG